This 546-nucleotide ribosomal RNA is filed under the name Alternaria sp. RNAcentral describes it as "eukaryotic LSU rRNA". The stretch from base 171 to 324 matches the Rfam family "5.8S ribosomal RNA". The record is from RNAcentral. Lineage: Eukaryota; Fungi; Ascomycota; Dothideomycetes; Pleosporales; Pleosporaceae.
CAUUACACAAAUAUGAAGGCGGGCUGGAACCUCUCGGGGUUACAGCCUUGCUGAAUUAUUCACCCUUGUCUUUUGCGUACUUCUUGUUUCCUUGGUGGGUUCGCCCACCACUAGGACAAACAUAAACCUUUUGUAAUUGCAAUCAGCGUCAGUAACAAAUUAAUAAUUACAACUUUCAACAACGGAUCUCUUGGUUCUGGCAUCGAUGAAGAACGCAGCGAAAUGCGAUAAGUAGUGUGAAUUGCAGAAUUCAGUGAAUCAUCGAAUCUUUGAACGCACAUUGCGCCCUUUGGUAUUCCAAAGGGCAUGCCUGUUCGAGCGUCAUUUGUACCCUCAAGCUUUGCUUGGUGUUGGGCGUCUUGUCUCUAGCUUUGCUGGAGACUCGCCUUAAAGUAAUUGGCAGCCGGCCUACUGGUUUCGGAGGCGCAGCACAAGUCGCACUCUCUAUCAGCAAAGGUCUAGCAUCCAUUAAGCCUUUUUUUCAACUUUUGACCUCGGAUCAGGUAGGGAUACCCGCUGAACUUAAGCAUAUCAAUAAGCGGAGGA